GAACCGUGCGAACGUUGUUCGGAAUCACUGGGCUUAAAGGGCGCGUAGGCGGGCGAGCAAGUCCGGGGUGAAAGCCCCCGGCCCAACCGGGGAAGUGCCUUGGAUACUGCUCGCCUUGAGGGAGGUAGGGGCUUGUGGAACUUCCGGUGGAGCGGUGAAAUGCGUUGAUAUCGGAAGGAACGCCGGUGGCGAAAGCGACAAGCUGGCCCUCUUCUGACGCUGAGGCGCGAAAGCCAGGGGAGCAAACGGGAUUAGAUACCCCGGUAGUCCUGGCCCUAAACGAUGGGUACUAGGUAGUGGGCCUGACAUGGGCUCACUGCCGAAGCAAAAGUGGUAAGUACCCCGCCUGGGGAGUAUGGUCGCAAGGCUGAA
This 372-nucleotide ribosomal RNA is filed under the name uncultured bacterium. Its description in RNAcentral is "bacterial SSU rRNA". It matches the Rfam family "Bacterial small subunit ribosomal RNA", at positions 527 to 898 of the family's 1533-position model. The record is from RNAcentral.